Molecule: ribosomal RNA, 103 nt
Filed under: uncultured eukaryote
Lineage: Eukaryota
Description: partial small subunit ribosomal RNA
Rfam family: Eukaryotic small subunit ribosomal RNA
Source: RNAcentral
UCGCUCCUACCGAUUUUGAGUGAUCCGGUGAACCUUUUGGACUGUGUUUGGGCUUGACUCAGACAUUGGAAGUUAAGUAAACCUUAUCACUUAGAGGAAGGAG